GUGGUCCCAAGUCAGGCGAGGCCCACCCGCUGA
This 33-nucleotide ribosomal RNA is filed under the name Amomum sp. Wilkie et al. 29016. RNAcentral's name for it is "partial 26S ribosomal RNA". Lineage: Eukaryota; Viridiplantae; Streptophyta; Magnoliopsida; Zingiberales; Zingiberaceae. The record is from RNAcentral.